This 1153-nucleotide ribosomal RNA is filed under the name Lacticaseibacillus casei. RNAcentral describes it as "bacterial SSU rRNA". It matches the Rfam family "Bacterial small subunit ribosomal RNA", at positions 33 to 1150 of the family's 1533-position model. The record is from RNAcentral. Lineage: Bacteria; Bacillati; Bacillota; Bacilli; Lactobacillales; Lactobacillaceae.
AGGACGGAGGCGUGCUAUACAUGCAAGUCGAACGAGUUUUGGUCGAUGAACGGUGCUUGCACUGAGAUUCGACUUAAAACGAGUGGCGGACGGGUGAGUAACACGUGGGUAACCUGCCCUUAAGUGGGGGAUAACAUUUGGAAACAGAUGCUAAUACCGCAUAAAUCCAAGAACCGCAUGGUUCUUGGCUGAAAGAUGGCGCAAGCUAUCGCUUUUGGAUGGACCCGCGGCGUAUUAGCUAGUUGGUGAGGUAACGGCUCACCAAGGCGAUGAUACGUAGCCGAACUGAGAGGUUGAUCGGCCACAUUGGGACUGAGACACGGCCCAAACUCCUACGGGAGGCAGCAGUAGGGAAUCUUCCACAAUGGACGCAAGUCUGAUGGAGCAACGCCGCGUGAGUGAAGAAGGCUUUCGGGUCGUAAAACUCUGUUGUUGGAGAAGAAUGGUCGGCAGAGUAACUGUUGUCGGCGUGACGGUAUCCAACCAGAAAGCCACGGCUAACUACGUGCCAGCAGCCGCGGUAAUACGUAGGUGGCAAGCGUUAUCCGGAUUUAUUGGGCGUAAAGCGAGCGCAGGCGGUUUUUUAAGUCUGAUGUGAAAGCCCUCGGCUUAACCGAGGAAGCGCAUCGGAAACUGGGAAACUUGAGUGCAGAAGAGGACAGUGGAACUCCAUGUGUAGCGGUGAAAAUGCGUAGAUAUAUGGAAGAACACCAGUGGCGAAGGCGGCUGUCUGGUCUGUAACUGACGCUGAGGCUCGAAAGCAUGGGUAGCGAACAGGAUUAGAUACCCUGGUAGUCCAUGCCGUAAACGAUGAAUGCUAGGUGUUGGAGGGUUUCCGCCCUUCAGUGCCGCAGCUAACGCAUUAAGCAUUCCGCCUGGGGAGUACGACCGCAAGGUUGAAACUCAAAGGAAUUUGACGGGGGCCGCACAAGCGGUGGAGCAUGUGGUUUAAUUUCGAAGCAACGCGAAGAACCUUACCAGUCUUGACAUCUUUUUGAUCACUGAGAGAUCAGAUUCCCCUUUCGGGGGCAAAUGACAGUGGUGCAUGCUGGUCGUCAGCUCGUGUCGUGAGAUGAGGAUUAGUUCGGCACCGAGCGCACCCUAUGACUAGUGCCAGCAUGAUCUAGCACGUUAGUAGACCUGGCCGGUGACA